RNAcentral lists this ribosomal RNA (253 nucleotides) under uncultured bacterium. Its description in RNAcentral is "partial 16S ribosomal RNA". It matches the Rfam family "Bacterial small subunit ribosomal RNA", at positions 524 to 776 of the family's 1533-position model. The record is from RNAcentral.
UACGUAGGGUGCAAGCGUUGUCCGGAAUUAUUGGGCGUAAAGAGCUCGUAGGCGGCUUGUCGCGUCGGCUGUGAAAACCCGGGGCUCAACCCCGGGCCUGCAGUCGAUACGGGCAGGCUAGAGUCCGGCAGGGGAGACUGGAAUUCCUGGUGUAGCGGUGAAAUGCGCAGAUAUCAGGAAGAACACCAAUGGCGAAAGCAGCUCUCUGGGACGGUACUGACGCUGAGACGCGAAAGCGUGGGGAGCGAACAGG